GAUGAACGCUGGCGGCGUGCCUAAUACAUGCAAGUCGAGCGAACAGACGCGGAGCUUGCUCCUCUGACGUUAGCGGCGGACGGGUGAGUAACACGUGGAUAACCUACCUAUAAGACUGGGAUAACUUCGGGAAACCGGAGCUAAUACCGGAUAAUAUAUUGAACCGGAUGGUUCAAUAGUGAAAGACGGUUUUGCUGUCACUUAUAGAUGGAUCCGCGCCGCAUUAGCUAGUUGGUAAGGUAACGGCUUACCAAGGCAGCGAUGCGUAGCCGACCUGAGAGGGUGGUUGGCGAACACGGAGGUGAGGAGCGGCGGCGAAGCCUCCGGGGGGCAGCAGUAGGGAAGAUUCCGGAACGGGGGGAAGACUGCCGGUGCAACGCCGCGGGGGGGGUGAAGGUGUUCGGCUCGUUAAAAUCUGCUUUUAGGGGAGAACCAAUGUUUAAGUGACUGUGCACGUCUUGACGGUAGCUAAUCAGAAAGCCACGGCUAACUACGUG
This 497-nucleotide ribosomal RNA is filed under the name uncultured bacterium. Its description in RNAcentral is "partial 16S ribosomal RNA". It matches the Rfam family "Bacterial small subunit ribosomal RNA", at positions 28 to 507 of the family's 1533-position model. The record is from RNAcentral.